CCUACGGGAGGCAGCAGUGAGGAAUAUUGGUCAAUGGACGCGAGCCUGAACCAGCCAAGCCGCGUGCAGGAAGACGGCCCUAUGAGUUGUAAACCGCUUUUGUCCGGGGGCAAACGCCGCCACGUGUAUCGUUCCGAAAGUAUCCUACGAAUAAGCAUCGGCUAACUCCGUGCCAGCAGCCGCGGUAAUACGGAGGAUUCAAGCGUUAUCCGGAUUUAUUGGGUUUAAAGGGUGCGUAGGCGGUCGGAUAAGUUAGAGGUGAAAUUCAGAGGCUCAACUUCGGAAUGGCCUCUGAUACAGUUCGUCUAGAGAGUAGUUGAGGUAUGCGGAAUGUAUGGUGUAGCGGUGAAAUGCUUAGAGAUCAUGCAGAACACCGAUUGCGAAGGCAGCUUACCAGGCUACUUCUGACGUUGAUGCACGAAAGCGUGGGGAGCGAACAGGAUUAGAUACCCUGGUAGUC
RNAcentral lists this ribosomal RNA (460 nucleotides) under uncultured bacterium. RNAcentral's name for it is "partial 16S ribosomal RNA". It matches the Rfam family "Bacterial small subunit ribosomal RNA", at positions 338 to 795 of the family's 1533-position model. The record is from RNAcentral.